Molecule: long non-coding RNA, 1002 nt
Filed under: Fragaria vesca (wild strawberry)
Lineage: Eukaryota; Viridiplantae; Streptophyta; Magnoliopsida; Rosales; Rosaceae
Description: long non-coding RNA (FVES_LNC004445)
Source: RNAcentral
UGCCGCAAGCGAUAAAACCUUUAUCCCAUAAAAUAUCGAGCCUCUCAGACUCUAUAAUAUAUGUAUGUAUUUACACACGUCCAUACUCCCUAUAUAAAUUCAUGGGUCUAUAUAGGGCUACUACGCUCGCGUCCAACGCUCACGUCACGCCUUAAUGCGGUGCUACACUACGCCAUUAAGGUGGACAGACGGGUGUAUAAAUAUGUGCCCAUACCCCCUAUAUGAAUUAAACACUCAUAUAGGGCUACUACGCUUACGUCCAACGCUCACUCACAUCAUAAUGCGGCUAUAUGUUACGCCAUUAAGGUGGACAGACACAUAUGGCUAGCUAGCAUUUUCUAUACAUACUCUCUCAUAUAUACAUAUUUAUAUUCACCGAAAAUCCCAUUUUCGGUAACUCUCUCUCAGAGAAAUAAAAGCGUCAAAAUUAAUUGACGGUAAAACUCCAACAAAAGGAAAUGUUCAAUCAUGAACCAUAGCAUGCAUAUUAUUUAAAAUAAACGUCCACUCACUAAUUAGGCCUAAGCCUGAUGUCGAUCUGGGGUCUCGUCUGCUCGAGCCUCCUCACGUCCUGUUCCAAAUAUAAUAUUAAUUUCCCAACCAAUAAUCCAAUAUUUAAUCAAAAUAGGCAAAAUUACCCGAGAGCCAUAAUUACGCUCAUUAUUGCCUAACUUCGAUAUUCUUACAUCGGAACGAUCCGAACUUAAAUAUCAUACUCCACAGUCGUAAAUAUAACCUCCCCAAAAUACAACUUAAAUCCUACGGCCGGAUUCUACAUUAAUUAACCGCCAAAAAUACCAAACUUCGGAAAUUCACAAACCUAUCCAAAUCUCAUCCAAAAAUUCCAUAAAUCACACCAAUAUACUCCUCUUAAUAUUCCACAUCAAAAACCACAAAAUUUCCCAAAACAGCAGCGGCGGCCGGCGACCAACUCCGGCGACCUGCAAAAGCUACCAAAUUUUAACAGAAUCUUCCUCUCAAUCUCCUCUACAACUUUCAUGA